UACAGAGGGUGCAAGCCUUAAUCGGAUUUAUUGGGCGUAAAGGGCGCGUAGGCGGAACGGUAAGUCAGGCGUGAAAUUCCGGGGCUCAACCCCGGAGCUGCGCUUGAAACUACCGAUCUAGAGGGUAGGCGGAGAAAACGGAAUUCCACGUGUAGCGGUGAAAUGCGUAGAUAUGUGGAAGAACACCUGUGGCGAAAGCGGUUUUCUAGCUUACAACUGACGCUGAGGCGCGAAAGCAAGGGGAGCAAACAGG
This 253-nucleotide ribosomal RNA is filed under the name uncultured Parachlamydia sp. RNAcentral describes it as "partial 16S ribosomal RNA". It matches the Rfam family "Bacterial small subunit ribosomal RNA", at positions 524 to 776 of the family's 1533-position model. The record is from RNAcentral. Lineage: Bacteria; Pseudomonadati; Chlamydiota; Chlamydiia; Parachlamydiales; Parachlamydiaceae.